Molecule: long non-coding RNA, 592 nt
Organism: Hypomesus transpacificus
Lineage: Eukaryota; Metazoa; Chordata; Actinopteri; Osmeriformes; Osmeridae
Exons: 3
Source: RefSeq, a predicted model, not a curated record
CAGCCAGUCGGUGCUCCAGUUCGGCAAGUAUAAGGGAAUCUCAUUUCGCUGGCUGUUGGGGAACGAUCUGGGGUAUGUUGUGAUGUUGUUGGCAGGUCACCAGCGUGAGAGGGAGACUGGCAACGUUUCACAGGUGCCGCUGAUGGAGAACAAGGACGCCCUGGACCAGUACGCCCAGCUGUUUCCCCGGGUGGUGGCUGCGGCCCGCGAUCGGCGCGGGUUGGACAGGCACCCUGGACCUGCUGCCGACGGACGAUAAGGGACGUAAGCUGGUGGGCUUUGACGCCCAUUCCGCGGUGCCUUUCGCUCCCCUCUACGAGUCUGUGGAUUAGCAGCAUGCAUCAUACGUACAGUGGCUUAAGAAGAAGGUUUCGCGUCCAGGCUCUCAGAUGUCGAUGCUUAUUGAGAACAUCAAGAGGAGGGAUGAGAAGAAAGCGUUUUCUUCCUCUACCACCUAUCGGCCUCCUUCCUCUUCUUCAGCACAGCCUGCCAACAAAGGCCUCAGACUUCUUCUCAGUCUGCAGGCCGGCCCGGUCCCAGGCCUCCUCCGUCACCUGCCACACAGCCAGGAGCCACUGACAUCCAUGAGGAC